GACGAACGCUGGCGGCGUGCUUAACACAUGCAAGUCGAACGGAAAGGCCCUGCUUUUGUGGGGUGCUCGAGUGGCGAACGGGUGAGUAACACGUGAGUAACCUGCCCUUGACUUUGGGAUAACUUCAGGAAACUGGGGCUAAUACCGGAUAGGAGCUCCUGCUGCAUGGUGGGGGUUGGAAAGUUUCGGCGGUUGGGGAUGGACUCGCGGCUUAUCAGCUUGUUGGUGGGGUAGUGGCUUACCAAGGCUUUGACGGGUAGCCGGCCUGAGAGGGUGACCGGCCACAUUGGGACUGAGAUACGGCCCAGACUCCUACGGGAGGCAGCAGUGGGGAAUAUUGCACAAUGGGCGGAAGCCUGAUGCAGCAACGCCGCGUGCGGGAUGACGGCCUUCGGGUUGUAAACCGCUUUCGCCUGUGACGAAGCGUGAGUGACGGUAAUGGGUAAAGAAGCACCGGCUAACUACGUGCCAGCAGCCGCGGUGAUACGUAGGGUGCGAGCGUUGUCCGGAUUUAUUGGGCGUAAAGGGCUCGUAGGUGGUUGAUCGCGUCGGAAGUGUAAUCUUGGGGCUUAACCCUGAGCGUGCUUUCGAUACGGGUUGACUUGAGGAAGGUAGGGGAGAAUGGAAUUCCUGGUGGAGCGGUGGAAUGCGCAGAUAUCAGGAGGAACACCAGUGGCGAAGGUGGUUCUCUGGGCCUUUCCUGACGCUGAGGAGCGAAAGCGUGGGGAGCGAACAGGCUUAGAUACCCUGGUAGUCCACGCUGUAAACGGUGGGUACUAGGUGUGGGGUCCAUUCCACGGGUUCCGUGCCGUAGCUAACGCUUUAAGUACCCCGCCUGGGGAGUACGGCCGCAAGGCUAAAACUCAAAGGAAUUGACGGGGCCCCGCACAAGCGGCGGAGCAUGCGGAUUAAUUCGAUGCAACGCGUAGAACCUUACCUGGGUUUGACAUGGAUCGGGAGUGCCCAGAGAUGGGUGUGCCUCUUUUGGGGUCGGUUCACAGGUGGUGCAUGGCUGUCGUCAGCUCGUGUCGUGAGAUGUUGGGUUAAGUCCCGCAACGAGCGCAACCCUUGUUCACUGUUGCCAGCACGUUAUGGUGGGGACUCAGUGGAGACCGCCGGGGUCAACUCGGAGGAAGGUGGGGAUGACGUCAAGUCAUCAUGCCCCUUAUGUCCAGGGCUUCACGCAUGCUACAAUGGCUGGUACAGAGAGUGGCGAGCCUGUGAGGGUGAGCGAAUCUCGGAAAGCCGGUCUCAGUUCGGAUUGGGGUCUGCAACUCGACCUCAUGAAGUCGGAGUCGCUAGUAAUCGCAGAUCAGCAACGCUGCGGUGAAUACGUUCCCGGG
This 1343-nucleotide ribosomal RNA is filed under the name uncultured bacterium. Its description in RNAcentral is "16S ribosomal RNA". It matches the Rfam family "Bacterial small subunit ribosomal RNA", at positions 28 to 1378 of the family's 1533-position model. The record is from RNAcentral.